Molecule: ribosomal RNA, 454 nt
Filed under: uncultured bacterium
Lineage: Bacteria
Description: bacterial SSU rRNA
Rfam family: Bacterial small subunit ribosomal RNA
Source: RNAcentral
UACGGAAGGCAGCAGUGGGGAAUAUUGCACAAUGGGCGCAAGCCUGAUGCAGCCAUGCCGCGUGUAUGAAGAAGGCCUUCGGGUUGUAAAGUACUUUCAGUCGUGAGGAAGGUGUUAAGGUUAAUAACCUUAGCAAUUGACGUUAGCGACAGAAGAAGCACCGGCUAACUCCGUGCCAGCAGCCGCGGUAAUACGGAGGGUGCGAGCGUUAAUCGGAAUUACUGGGCGUAAGGGCACGCAGGCGGUUAAUUAAGUUGGAUGUGAAAUCCCCGGGCUUAACCUGGGAAUGGCAUUCAAGACUGGUUAGCUAGAGUCUUGUAGAGGGGGUAGAAUUCCAUGUGUAGCGGUGAAAUGCGUAGAGAUGUGGAGGAAUACCGGGUGGCGAAGGCGGCCCCUGGGACAAAGACUGACGCUCAUGUGCGAAAGCGUGGGGAGCAAACAGGGAUUAGAUACC